AUUAGCUAACGAGUCCAAAAUAGGACUAAACGCGCGUCCUGGAU
This 44-nucleotide non-coding RNA is filed under the name Schistosoma mattheei. The record is from RNAcentral. Lineage: Eukaryota; Metazoa; Platyhelminthes; Trematoda; Strigeidida; Schistosomatidae.